CCUACGGGUGGCUGCAGUGAGGAAUAUUGGUCAAUGAGCGCGAGCCUGAACCAGCCAAGUAGCGUGAAGGAUGACUGCCCUACGGGUUGUAAACUUCUUUUAUAAAGGAAUAAAGUGAGGCACGUGUGCCUUUUUGUAUGUACUUUAUGAAUAAGGAUCGGCUAACUCCGUGCCAGCCGCCGCGGUAAUACGGAGGAUACGAGCGUUAUCCGGAUUUGUUGGGUUUAAAGGGAGCGUAGAGGGGUUGUUAAGUCAGUUGUGAAAGUUUGCGGCUCAACCGUAAAAUUGCAAUUGAUACUGGCAGUCUUGAGUACAGUAGAGGUGAGCGGAAUUCGUGGUGUAGCGGUGAAAUGCUUAGAUAUCACGAAGAACUCCGAUUGCGAAGGCAGUUCACUGGACUGCAACUGACACUGAGGCUCGAAAGUGUGGGUAUCAAACAGGAUUAGAUACCCUAGUAGUA
RNAcentral lists this ribosomal RNA (460 nucleotides) under uncultured bacterium. RNAcentral describes it as "partial 16S ribosomal RNA". It matches the Rfam family "Bacterial small subunit ribosomal RNA", at positions 338 to 795 of the family's 1533-position model. The record is from RNAcentral.